RNAcentral lists this ribosomal RNA (245 nucleotides) under uncultured bacterium. RNAcentral's name for it is "partial small subunit ribosomal RNA". It matches the Rfam family "Bacterial small subunit ribosomal RNA", at positions 26 to 285 of the family's 1533-position model. The record is from RNAcentral.
AGAAUCAACGCUGGCGGCGUGCCUAACACAUGCAAGUCGAACGAGAAAGGGGAGCAAUCCCUGAGUACAGUGGCGACCGGGUGAGUAACACGUGACUAACCUACCCUCGAGUGUGGAAUAACAUCGGGAAACCGAUGCUAAUACCGCAUAAUAUCGCAAGAUCAAAGGAGUAAUCCGCUUGAGGAGGGGGUCGCGGCUGAUUAGCUAGUUGGCGGGGUAAUGGCCCACCAAGGCGAAGAUCGGUA